RNAcentral lists this small RNA (161 nucleotides) under Mangrovibacter sp. MFB070. Its description in RNAcentral is "Enterobacterial sRNA STnc430". It matches the Rfam family "Enterobacterial sRNA STnc430". Lineage: Bacteria; Pseudomonadati; Pseudomonadota; Gammaproteobacteria; Enterobacterales; Enterobacteriaceae. The record is from Rfam by way of RNAcentral.
GUUUGGUUGAAUAAUCCGUUUUGUCUGAAAAGAAAGGCGAGGGAUAAUAAUAGAUUAAACGCUUUUCAGAAUAACCUUACUCAUAGUUAAUGGUUAAGUACGUUUUUUCACAGAUUUAUCUUAUAAAAAACGCCGGUAUAAAACCGGCAUUUUUAAAUAUA